Molecule: ribosomal RNA, 801 nt
Filed under: uncultured bacterium
Lineage: Bacteria
Description: bacterial SSU rRNA
Rfam family: Bacterial small subunit ribosomal RNA
Source: RNAcentral
AUCCUGGCUCAGGAUGAACGCUAGCUACAGGCUUAACACAUGCAAGUCGAGGGGCAUCAUGCUUAUAGCAAUAUAAGUGAUGGCGACCGGCGCACGGGUGAGUAACACGUAUCCAACCUGCCGAUAACUCGGGGAUAGCCUUUCGAAAGAAAGAUUAAUACCCGAUGGCAUAAUAGAACCGCAUGGUUUGAUUAUUAAAGAAUUUCGGUUAUCGAUGGGGAUGCGUUCCAUUAGGCAGUUGGUGGGGUAACGGCCCACCAAACCUUCGAUGGAUAGGGGUUCUGAGAGGAAGGUCCCCCACAUUGGAACUGAGACACGGUCCAAACUCCUACGGGAGGCAGCAGUGAGGAAUAUUGGUCAAUGGACGAGAGUCUGAACCAGCCAAGUAGCGUGAAGGAUGACUGCCCUAUGGGUUGUAAACUUCUUUUAUAUGGGAAUAAAGUGGUCCACGUGUGGAUUUUUGUAUGUACCAUAUGAAUAAGGAUCGGCUAACUCCGUGCCAGCAGCCGCGGUAAUACGGAGGAUCCGAGCGUUAUCCGGAUUUAUUGGGUUUAAAGGGAGCGUAGGUGGACAGUUAAGUCAGUUGUGAAAGUUUGCGGCUCAACCGUAAAAUUGCAGUUGAUACUGGCUGUCUUGAGUACAGUAGAGGUGGGCGGAAUUCGUGGUGUAGCGGUGAAAUGCUUAGAUAUCACGAAGAACUCCGAUUGCGAAGGCAGCUCACUGGACUGCAACUGACACUGAUGCUCGAAAGUGUGGGUAUCAAACAGGAUUAGAUACCCUGGUAGUCCACACAGUAAACGA